Molecule: ribosomal RNA, 468 nt
Filed under: uncultured bacterium
Lineage: Bacteria
Description: partial 16S ribosomal RNA
Rfam family: Bacterial small subunit ribosomal RNA
Source: RNAcentral
GACGAACGCUGGCGGCGUGCUUAACACAUGCAAGUCGAACGGAAAGGCCCUGCUUUUGUGGGGUGCUCGAGUGGCGAACGGGUGAGUAACACGUGAGUAACCUGCCCUUGACUUUGGGAUAACUUCAGGAAACUGGGGCUAAUACCGGAUAGGAGCUCCUGCUGCAUGGUGGGGGUUGGAAAGUUUCGGCGGUUGGGGAUGGACUCGCGGCUUAUCAGCUUGUUGGUGGGGUAGUGGCUUACCAAGGCUUUGACGGGUAGCCGGCCUGAGAGGGUGACCGGCCACAUUGGGACUGAGAUACGGCCCAGACUCCUACGGGAGGCAGCAGUGGGGAAUAUUGCACAAUGGGCGGAAGCCUGAUGCAGCAACGCCGCGUGCGGGAUGACGGCCUUCGGGUUGUAAACCGCUUUCGCCUGCGACGAAGCGUGAGUGACGGUAAUGUGUAAAGAAGCACCGGCUAACUACGUG